This 872-nucleotide long non-coding RNA is filed under the name Sus scrofa (pig). RNAcentral's name for it is "lncRNA (ENSSSCG00065018701.1)". The record is from RNAcentral. Lineage: Eukaryota; Metazoa; Chordata; Mammalia; Artiodactyla; Suidae.
CUAAGACAUUUUUCCUUUUCAUAUUUGAACAUUUCUGAAAUCAAGGUAUAUCUUCAAGUGAUGCCCCUUCAUAAAUACUUAGCAGUACUUUCUCAAGUCUGUAUGAAAGCACUGUGGGUCCUACACGUCAAAGACAAGCUUUCUAGUCCGCAAACUGCAGUGGCUCUCAUUGGCCCAAGCGCAUCACGUGUCUCUCACCCGCCAAUCACUGCAACUCUGGUUGGGAAGCCAUAGGCUCAUCUCUGGUGUUAACUAGUUGGAGUCAGCAUCACCUAAGCAAAAGGAGCGACAGAGGAAUGGCAGUUUCUGAGAGGAAAAUCAAAGUGUCACUGCCCCCCGGAGAGAUGGCUGUGGAUUCCCGGCAGGCAGAAACAACUGCUGCCUCCUCUGCUCAGAGUCAUUCCGGAAUUCGGAAAUUCUGGCCACCUGCAGUGUGCAAAGGCAGCUGGCCAGGCAAGGAAGCUGGCGCCAGGUCCCAGGGCCCCUCCCUGGAGGGAGCAAAGGCCUCUCGGGUUGCAGCUGCAGAAAGAGGGAGGAGAGAAGAGGGACAGGAUGGAGUGGAGAGCCUUGGAGGCAGUGGUUUGGACAUCAACUCGGUGAGUCAUGCCCCGGGCAGCUUUUUACAGGAGUUGCAAAUUCCAGUAACAGCAGAUCAGGGACACCUCUCGAGGGAGUCCUAACUAAUCGAAGGUGCCUCUUGCUCCCUCUUGGCAGAUCCGAGUCCACAUCUGAAUAGCUUAUCUUCAAAACCAGAUCCUGAAGCCGUCCCUUGCUUGGGUCCCUGGGCUUCCGGAAACCAGGAGGUUAUUCUGCCCCAAAGUUAGUUGGAGAUGUUGGGUGAUAGAUGCUGCAUCUGAGUCUGGCCCCUCAAC